GAUGAACGCUGGCGGCGUGCCUAAUACAUGCAAGUCGAGCGAACGGACGAGAAGCUUGCUUUUCUGAUGUUAGCUGCGGACGGGUGAGUAACACGUGGAUAACAUACCUAUAAGACUGGGAUAACUUCGGGAAACCGGAGCUAAUACCGGAUAAUAUUUUGAACCGCAUGGUUCAAAAGUGAAAGACGGUCUUGCUGUCACUUAUAGAUGGAUCCGCGCUGCAUUAGCUAGUUGGUAAGGUAACGUCUUACCAAGGCAACGAUGCAUAGCCGACCUGAGAGGGUGAUCGGCCACACUGGAACUGAGACACGGUCCAGACUCCUACGGGAGGCAGCAGUAGGGAAUCUUCCGCAAUGGGCGAAAGCCUGACGGAGCAACGCCGCGUGAGUGAUGAAGGUCUUCGGAUCGUAAAACUCUGUUAUUAGGGAAGAACAUAUGUGUAAGUAACUGUGCACAUCUUGACGGUACCUAAUCAGAAAGCCACGGCUAACUACGUG
This 497-nucleotide ribosomal RNA is filed under the name uncultured bacterium. Its description in RNAcentral is "partial 16S ribosomal RNA". It matches the Rfam family "Bacterial small subunit ribosomal RNA", at positions 28 to 507 of the family's 1533-position model. The record is from RNAcentral.